UACGUAGGGUGCGAGCGUUGUCCGGAAUUAUUGGGCGUAAAGAGCUCGUAGGCGGUCUGUCGCGUCGGAUGUGAAAACUCGGGGCUCAACCCCGAGCCUGCAUUCGAUACGGGCAGACUAGAGUUCGGUAGGGGAGACUGGAAUUCCUGGUGUAGCGGUGAAAUGCGCAGAUAUCGGGAAGAACACCCGUGGCGAAGGCGGUUCUCUGGGACGGUACUGACGCUGAGACGCGAAAGCGUGGGGAGCGAACAGG
This 253-nucleotide ribosomal RNA is filed under the name uncultured bacterium. RNAcentral describes it as "partial 16S ribosomal RNA". It matches the Rfam family "Bacterial small subunit ribosomal RNA", at positions 524 to 776 of the family's 1533-position model. The record is from RNAcentral.